GGACAGUGAUGAAAAUAGCCAAAUCUGAGCAUCCGAAAACCUAGUCUGUAUAAAGCAUUAUCUCUGUAAUUCUAAGA
Molecule: small nucleolar RNA, 77 nt
Organism: Eptesicus fuscus (big brown bat)
Lineage: Eukaryota; Metazoa; Chordata; Mammalia; Chiroptera; Vespertilionidae
Product: small nucleolar RNA U2-19
Exons: 1
Source: RefSeq, a predicted model, not a curated record